This 317-nucleotide ribosomal RNA is filed under the name uncultured bacterium. RNAcentral describes it as "bacterial SSU rRNA". It matches the Rfam family "Bacterial small subunit ribosomal RNA", at positions 8 to 329 of the family's 1533-position model. The record is from RNAcentral.
AGAGUUUGAUCCUGGCUCAGGACGAACGCUGGCGGCGUGCCUAAAACAUGCAAGUCGAACGCGAGGGCCUUCGGGCCUGGGAGUGGCGAACGGCGGAGUAAUACGUAAGCAACGUGCCCUAAAGUCUGGGAUAUACCGGGGAAACCCGGAGCAAUACCGGAUGUGACCGUUUCCUGGCAUCAGGAGACGAUUAAAUGGUUUUUCGCUUUAGGAGCGGCUUACGGCCUAUCAGCUAGUUGGUGAGGUAACGGCCCACCAAGGCUUCGACGGGUAACUGGUCUGAGAGGACGACCAGUCCGAGUGGGACUGAGACACGG